CAUUUUACUAGUGAUAACCUCGUGCUGAUUGCAUGUCCCCGUGACGACGACAACGCAUUCGGAUGUCUGCCUAUCAACUUUCAAUGCAAUUUUCCACGCCUACCAUGGUGACCACGGGUAACGGGGAAUAAGGGUUUGAUUCCAG
Pelobates cultripes (western spadefoot toad) is the source of this 145-nucleotide non-coding RNA. The record is from the annotation of a GenBank genome assembly. NCBI's taxonomy places the organism in Eukaryota, Metazoa, Chordata, Amphibia, Anura, Pelobatidae.